UCAAAAAUAGCGUGAUCAGCCCCAACAUUGCCUCCUGGCAUGACUCCUGUACCACCAGCAAUACCUGCAGCAGUAUUUGCAACAAGAUUGCCAUAAAGAUUAGGUGUCACCAUGACAUCAAACUGCUCCGGCUUUGAAACAAGUUGCAUGCAGCAGUUGUCCACAAUAAUUUCAUUGUAUUUGAUUCCAGGAUAUUUUUUAGCGACCUCCCGACAAGACUCCAAAAACAAACCAUCUGCAAGCUUCAUGAUGUUUGCUUUGUGCACAGCAGUCACCUUCUUCCUGUUGUUCAGGUACGCAUACUCAAAAGCGUAUUUUGCAAUGCGCUCGGAGCAGAACUUUGUAAUCACCUUGAGGCUUUCAACUACUCCAGGAACGACCUCAUGCUCGAGGCCAGAGUACUCUCCCUCAGUAUUCUCUCUAAUCACAAC
This 431-nucleotide unclassified non-coding RNA is filed under the name Hevea brasiliensis (rubber tree). Lineage: Eukaryota; Viridiplantae; Streptophyta; Magnoliopsida; Malpighiales; Euphorbiaceae. The record is from RNAcentral.